Molecule: non-coding RNA, 30 nt
Filed under: Rattus norvegicus (Norway rat)
Lineage: Eukaryota; Metazoa; Chordata; Mammalia; Rodentia; Muridae
Source: RNAcentral
UCAAAGAAAGAUAUGUCUUUGUCUCUGCCC